RNAcentral lists this ribosomal RNA (267 nucleotides) under uncultured bacterium. Its description in RNAcentral is "partial 16S ribosomal RNA". It matches the Rfam family "Bacterial small subunit ribosomal RNA", at positions 554 to 812 of the family's 1533-position model. The record is from RNAcentral.
UCGAUCUGGGCGUAAGCGUGCGYAGGCGGUUYUGUAAGUCUGGYGUGAAAUCCCUGGAGCUCAACUSSGGAAUUGCGCUUUGAUACUGCAUUGCUAGAGUGGGGCAGAGGUGGRCUGGAAUUCCCCGUGUAGCGGUGAAAUGCGUAGAUAUCUGGGAAGAACACCRGUGGCGAAGGCGGCCCMCUGGGCCWUUACUGACGCUCAUGCACGAAAGCCUGGGGAGCAAACGGGAUUAGAUACCCCGGUAGUCCUCGCCGUAAACGAUGA